UGGGGGGAUCUGGGGGGUCUGGGGGGGAUCCAGAGGGGUCCCAGGGGGGUCCUGGAUCAUCCUGGGGGGAUCUGGGGGGGUCCCUGGGGGUCCUGGGGUGACUCAGGGGGGUCCCAGGGGGGUCCUGGAUCAUCCUGGGGGUCCCGGGGGGGUCUGGGGGGGAUCCAGGGGGGUCCCAAGGGGGUCCCGGAUUAUCCAGGGGGGUCCCAGGGUGAUCCUGGGGGUCCCAGGAUGAUCCAGGAAGGUUCUGGGGGGUCCUGGGGGGCUCCCGGAAGGUCUCGGGGGGAUCCAGGGGGGUCCUGGGACGAUCCAGAGGGUUCUGGGGGGGGGUCCCAGGAUGAUCCAGGGGCUCCCGGGGUGAUCUGGGGGGGUUCCUGGAGGUCCCAGGAGGAUCCAGGGGGGUCCUGGGGGGUCCCAGGAUGAUCCUGGAGGUCCCUGGAGGUCCCUGGGGGUCCCAGGGGUGUCCUGGGGUGGAUCCUGGGGGUCCCAGGAUGAUCCAGGGGGGUCCUGGGAUGAUCCAGAGGCUCCUGGGGUGAUCCCUGGGGGUCCCGGGAUGAUCCUGGGGGGAUCCGGGGGGAUCCUGGAGGUCCCAGGAGGAUCCAGGGGGGUCCAGGGGGGCUCCCGGGAGGUCCCAGGACAAUCCUGGGGUGAUCCCUGGGGGUCCUGGGAUGAUCCAGGGGGGAUCCUGGGGGAUCUUGGAGGUCCCUGGAGGUCCCAGGAUGAUCCUGGAGGUCCCUGGGGUGUCCCAGGGGGGUCCUGGGAUGAUCCAGGGGUGUCCUGGGAGGAUCCUGGGGGUCCCAGGGUGGUCCUGGGGUGUCCCGGGAUGAUCCAGGGGUGUCCUGGGAGGAUCCUGGGGGUCCCAGGAGGGUCCUGGGGUGGAUCCUGGGGGUCCCUGGGGGUCCCAGGGGGGUCCUGGGAUGAUCCAGGGGUGUCCCAGGAUGAUCCAGGGGUGUCCUGGGAGGAUCCUGGGGGUCCCAGGGGUGUCCC
This is a long non-coding RNA of Poecile atricapillus (Black-capped chickadee), 987 nucleotides long. RefSeq lists it as uncharacterized. The record is from RefSeq and is a predicted model, not a curated record. Lineage: Eukaryota; Metazoa; Chordata; Aves; Passeriformes; Paridae. The transcript has 3 exons.